CUGCGGCCCGGCUCUUCCCCGAGUCGCGGCACCCCCAGCCCUGCGCUGGUCAUGCCCUGCGCCCUCGGGAUCCUGGGAAUCCGCACCCGGCUUGCGGACCUGGCCAGGAAGAUGAUGAGAUGCAGUUGAGAAAUUACAUCUGCAGUGACAACAAGCCGUUUGGAGGUAUCCAACAUUAAAGGUGAUUGUCCUAGUGUAUCCUUUCCGACAGCUCUCUGGAAAUGACUUUGCCUAAUCCUUUAGGAAGAAGAAGAUUGCCAGAACGCUGAGCUCUGCUCCCUCUACAAUUCUGCCUCCAUGAAGACGCAGGGAAUUUUCUCCAAGAGCCGUGGUUCUUCCGGAAGCAGCCUCAGACCACUCUUGUGCUGACCUACAGAAAGCCCACCGUUUAAUGGAGGGCUCGCCAUCCUUAACAUGUCAUCCAAGAACCUUCUGACGUGUGGGUCCACAGCAUCAUCUCCUCUUGCUUAUCCUCAUGGUUCAAGCACACCAAGUAACUUACCGUUUCCCAGACAAGUACCUUUGUCUGCUGUACUUCUGCAAGUGGUGAGUUCUGAACCCUAACUCACAGUCACUGCUACUGCCAUUGUCCCAGCUGGAGCACGUCAU
This is a long non-coding RNA of Meriones unguiculatus (Mongolian gerbil), 609 nucleotides long. RefSeq lists it as uncharacterized. The record is from RefSeq and is a predicted model, not a curated record. Lineage: Eukaryota; Metazoa; Chordata; Mammalia; Rodentia; Muridae. The transcript has 3 exons.